RNAcentral lists this ribosomal RNA (828 nucleotides) under uncultured bacterium. RNAcentral's name for it is "bacterial SSU rRNA". It matches the Rfam family "Bacterial small subunit ribosomal RNA", at positions 71 to 871 of the family's 1533-position model. The record is from RNAcentral.
UCGGAGUGCUUGCACUCUGUGAAACAAGAUACAGGCUAGCGGCGGACGGGUGAGUAACACGUGGGUAACCUGCCCAAGAGAUCGGGAUAACACCUGGAAACAGAUGCUAAUACCGGAUAACAACAGAUGAUGCCUAUCAACUGUUUAAAAGAUGGUUCUGCUAUCACUCUUGGAUGGACCUGCGGUGCAUUAGCUAGUUGGUAGGGUAACGGCCUACCAAGGCGAUGAUGCAUAGCCGAGUUGAGAGACUGAUCGGCCACAUUGGGACUGAGACACGGCCCAAACUCCUACGGGAGGCAGCAGUAGGGAAUCUUCCACAAUGGACGCAAGUCUGAUGGAGCAACGCCGCGUGAGUGAAGAAGGGUUUCGGCUCGUAAAGCUCUGUUGUUGGUGAAGAAGGACAGGGGUAGUAACUGACCUUUGUUUGACGGUAAUCAAUUAGAAAGUCACGGCUAACUACGUGCCAGCAGCCGCGGUAAUACGUAGGUGGCAAGCGUUGUCCGGAUUUAUUGGGCGUAAAGCGAGUGCAGGCGGCUCGAUAAGUCUGAUGUGAAAGCCUUCGGCUCAACCGGAGAAUUGCAUCAGAAACUGUCGAGCUUGAGUACAGAAGAGGAGAGUGGAACUCCAUGUGUAGCGGUGAAAUGCGUAGAUAUGUGGAAGAACACCGGUGGCGAAGGCGGCUCUCUGGUCUGUUACUGACGCUGAGGCUCGAAAGCAUGGGUAGCGAACAGGAUUAGAUACCCUGGUAGUCCAUGCCGUAAACGAUGAGUGCUAAGUGUUGGGAGGUUUCCGCCUCUCAGUGCUGCAGCUAACGCAUUAAGCACUCCG